AUAUUUCAAAUAACCGAUCUAAUAUUUACGAACCAAAAACACGAUUCAAUUAGAUAGAACUUUUUCUUAUCUGAUUCUAUCGGAUUUUUUGAGUAGGGAAGUGAUACGGUCAGCAUAUUCGUCUGAACUUAUAUAUUUUUGAAGAUUACUGAUACAAUCAUCUUUGUUGUAUUUGUUAUUAUUUUUGUGAGAAUGUCCGGAACGUCCCGCGAAUCUUAUUAUUAUAUUGGUAAUUAUGUCUUAUAACAUUAAUAAUACAUAAAAUUGCUUUCAGAGGUGCUUGCUUUUGCGGUUCAAUUUCUUUAUAUUAUUUAGAUUGGCCGCUGGUUAUUUGACAAUCUAGAUUGGCUGCUGGUUCUACGCUGUAGAAAUUUACGUGACAGGCAAAGCUCGCAUGGUGUUCAGUGUCAGUAUUGCCCGGGAAGAGCCUACAGGAGGGCAGUAUCUAAAAGAUAUAAUCUGAUUUAAAUCAAAUUGUAUUCGCGACACACCGGGCCAUAUUUGCUAUAAACAAGCUUUGCCAAGUAUUAUAUUCACAUUAUAAUAAAAACAAAUUUAUAAUGUAAAAUUGUCUAAUUAAUGUGACGUGUUCAAGAUUAACAAAGCGGCUAGCCUGCUCGCCGAGUGGUUGAAUAUGUGAUUGAUUGGAUCUAUAAGAAAAAAUCAUAUUUAAUCGCUCGGCGAGCAGGCUAGCUGCUUUGUCAUCUUGACGCAAUAACCCUAACCUAAUCCUAAUCUAUAUGUAAGCGUCCCACUGCGUAAAUGUGUGCGUGUAUAAGUGAUCGACUGAAGCCUUCCCGUUUUCAUCAUUGCGUCAAUCUAUAGACAUUCGCAGCGACACUCUAUGGGAGAAUGUACCGCGGACAUGCGAACGUUCUCAGAAUGUAUUUGGUUAAUCGCAGUACGUAAUGCGAUUGUUCUGAGAAUAUAUGCAAUAUACGUUUGCGAUAUUCUCAGAACGUUCUCAGAAUCUCUGUGUGCUAUUAGGGACAUUACAUCAAACAUUAAAUUCAAUUAAUACAUUAUUUGAAAGCUGUAUUCAAGUCCUUCAAAUUACACUAAUGUCAAAAAAUUAAUACUUGACAUAUUUUUCAAAAUAAAAUAAAAA
Molecule: long non-coding RNA, 1108 nt
Organism: Monomorium pharaonis (pharaoh ant)
Lineage: Eukaryota; Metazoa; Arthropoda; Insecta; Hymenoptera; Formicidae
Exons: 2
Source: RefSeq, a predicted model, not a curated record